UAUAUUUGGAGAUCUCGCCAACCAUCUUUAAUACGGAACAGUAAUACGAAAAUAAGACGACAAUUUAUCAAGACCUUCGGAUAGUCAAUGGACACAUAGCCCGCCAUAUGGGGAUCCAAAACAACUUGUCAGCCAUAGCCAAAACAAACAAAACACAAGAAAAUCUCUAACAAGUGUCAACAACUGGCCAAAGGGAGAGAAAGAAUAAAUGAGAGAAAGCUUUAAUGAGCGCUUGAGAGAGUGCUUUUGGGAGACUAAAAUCGAGCUUUGGCUGCCAUAGGGCCAACUUAAAGGCAUGCUCAGGAAUUGUUUCAGUCGACGUUUAGAUUCCUGGCCAGAAACCAACCGAGCGCUAAAAAGUCGCGACACGCGUUAAAAAGAAAACUGAAAAAUCGCCAGCAGCCACAAACAAGCUACAAUAGUUUUUCCUCAGUCUAGGAAAACUAGUGAAAAGGAUCGGGACACUAUGAACUUCAGCGGCGGUUGGCAAUGAUAGUAUGACGCGUGACGGCGAAAUUCCAGCCAUCUUCAAUCCGAAACGCGUGCGCACUCCCUCCGUGGUGGUCACCGGCGACUCCUCGUCGAAUGGACCGUACAAUAACAAUAAUAGCGGCGGCGUGGGAGGCGGUGCCAGCAGCAGCGGCAUUGGCGCGGUCUCCAGCUGUGGCUUCAGUAAUGUGCUCAACUCCAGCAACCCGCAAAUAACCCACCAAGAUUCAAUAUCAUCGAGCCAACAAGAUCCGAAUGAGGUCAUUACCAUACAGGCGGACACACCCACUAACCCGCACGGGUCACAGCAUAAUUUUGGAGGCGACUCCAACGACACACAGACUGGACAACUGGCAAUAGAUCAGCAGGCCAAUGGGCAGCCGGGCGAGGAUGCGGAGGUGCGUUUUCGCAAGCUCAAGGCCUGCAGAGAAUCCUGCUGCUCCGAACUGGCCAAGAAGAUGUACUUUGGGGUGUGCGUCACGAUUCUAGUGACUGCUUCGUGGGUGGGCGCCACGCACUGCAUCAAGUACAUGUAUUUGUAUCGCGCUCCAUAUGACGAUGAACUGGACGACGAUCUAGAUACCUCAUCGAGUCGCACUGAACUCAGCACCGAACUGGAGGAUAUACUGGCCAUAAGCGACUCAUCGCUGCACCAUGUCGAGGACGCCACCGAGAUGUUCAACAUACCACCGCGCCAGCCCGUCUACUUUAAUGCGCCGUUCUUUGCGGCCUGGUUCUUUACCAAUUUCUCCCUGCUCUUCUUCCCCAUCUAUAUACUAGGGCUCAUCUCGGCUCGCAAGUGCGACAAACUGAGCGAGAUACUCGCCGAUGUGAUACGAGGAUUUCGCGAGCGAGGCUUCACCAUUGGCCGUUUCCUCAAUCGCUGUCUAUCCUUUUGCAUCCUGUGGCUGGUGACCACCUACCUGUACACCCUGUCGCUGCACGUCCUCUUUGCCACGGAUGCACUGGCGCUGUUUGCAACAAACGUUGCCUGUGUCUAUUUACUCUCUUGGGUCAUACUGCAUGAGCAGUUCGUUGGCGUUAGGAUUGUGGCUGUUAUCCUGUGCGACACGGGCAUUGCGCUGCUCGCCUACAUGGACGGCAUUACGGAGAGUCGAACGUUAGGCGGGGUCGUGUUGGCCACGUUAGCUGCAGCCGGCUAUGCCGUGUUUAGGGUUAUGUUCCGCAAGGUGAUGGGCGAUCCGCCGGUGGCACAAAUCGCAUUUACAUUCACCGCACUGGGGUUGCUCAAUGCUUUGCUGCUGUGGCCCGUCGUGCUGGCACUGUACCUGACAGGCGCCGAGAAUCUGACAUCAGAAAGCAUACCAUGGAACAUGCUGCUUGUAGCAAGCGUCCUGCUCCUGGUUUUCCACGUACUCAUGCAGUUCAGUGCCGCCGUUACCUACAACAUGUUUGUGACAUUGGGUUUGAUAACCGCUGUGCCCGUUUCUGGUGCACUCGACGUCAUACUGUACAGUGCCACAUUUGCGGGCAUGAAACUAGCCGGAGUUAUCCUUAUAGCCAUUGGCUUUUUCCUCGUCAUGUUCCCCGAAAACUGGCCCGACUACAUAACGCGUCUCCUGCGAAGCAUCAUAAUGCUGGGUCACAACGCGAGCGGUAGGCCAGCGCUUUGUAAACGAGAUGCUGCAGUCACAGGACCGUCCACGAGAUAUGCGCAACGGCACAUCACGCGUUCCUUCUCGCACCAUAUAAGCUAAAAGUUGGAAAAAAAAGACCACAGACAGAUAUUCUGUAUAGAAACAAGAAAAACACGCAUAUAUAUUUUGUAAAUGAUUUUCCACAAAAAAAUAAGAAAAAGAAAAAAUUCAUGAAGUUCAGAAAGAUCACUGGAUUUUGGGAUCGCAGCAUAUUUAUGCGUCCCAUUAUAAACAUAAACGAAAAUAUUAUGCUGUCAACACGAACUCAUAUGUUGUUUG
RNAcentral lists this unclassified non-coding RNA (2426 nucleotides) under Drosophila mojavensis. RNAcentral's name for it is "GI10592". Lineage: Eukaryota; Metazoa; Arthropoda; Insecta; Diptera; Drosophilidae. The record is from RNAcentral.